GAUGAACGCUGGCGGCGUGCCUAAUACAUGCAAGUCGAGCGAACGGACGAGAAGCUUGCUUCUCUGAUGUUAGCGGCGGACGGGUGAGUAACACGUGGAUAACCUACCUAUAAGACUGGGAUAACUUCGGGAAACCGGAGCUAAUACCGGAUAAUAUUUUGAACCGCAUGGUUCAAAAGUGAAAGACGGUCUUGCUGUCACUUAUAGAUGGAUCCGCGCUGCAUUAGCUAGUUGGUAAGGUAACGGCUUACCAAGGCAACGAUGCAUAGCCGACCUGAGAGGGUGAUCGGCCACACUGGAACUGAGACACGGUCCAGACUCCUACGGGAGGCAGCAGUAGGGAAUCUUCCGCAAUGGGCGAAAGCCUGACGGAGCAACGCCGCGUGAGUGAUGAAGGUCUUCGGAUCGUAAAACUCUGUUAUUAGGGAAGAACAUAUGUGUAAGUAACUGUGCACAUCUUGACGGUACCUAAUCAGAAAGCCACGGCUAACUACGUGCCAGCAGCCGCGGUAAUACGUAGGUGGCAAGCGUUAUCCGGAAUUAUUGGGCGUAAAGCGCGCGUAGGCGGUUUUUUAAGUCUGAUGUGAAAGCCCACGGCUCAACCGUGGAGGGUCAUUGGAAACUGGAAAACUUGAGUGCAGAAGAGGAAAGUGGAAUUCCAUGUGUAGCGGUGAAAUGCGCAGAGAUAUGGAGGAACACCAGUGGCGAAGGCGACUUUCUGGUCUGUAACUGACGCUGAUGUGCGAAAGCGUGGGGAUCAAACAGGAUUAGAUACCCUGGUAGUCCACGCCGUAAACGAUGAGUGCUAAGUGUUAGGGGGUUUCCGCCCCUUAGUGCUGCAGCUAACGCAUUAAGCACUCCGCCUGGGGAGUACGACCGCAAGGUUGAAACUCAAAGGAAUUGACGGGGACCCGCACAAGCGGUGGAGCAUGUGGUUUAAUUCGAAGCAACGCGAAGAACCUUACCAAAUCUUGACAUCCUUUGACAACUCUAGAGAUAGAGCCUUCCCCUUCGGGGGACAAAGUGACAGGUGGUGCAUGGUUGUCGUCAGCUCGUGUCGUGAGGUGUUGGGUUAAGUCCCGCAACGAGCGCAACCCUUAAGCUUAGUUGCCAUCAUUAAGUUGGGCACUCUAAGUUGACUGCCGGUGACAAACCGGAGGAAGGUGGGGAUGACGUCAAAUCAUCAUGCCCCUUAUGAUUUGGGCUACACACGUGCUACAAUGGACAAUACAAAGGGCAGCGAAACCGCGAGGUCAAGCAAAUCCCAUAAAGUUGUUCUCAGUCCGGAUUGUAGUCUGCAACUCGACUACAUGAAGCUGGAAUCGCUAGUAAUCGUAGAUCAGCAUGCUACGGUGAAUACGUUCCCGGGUCU
Molecule: ribosomal RNA, 1372 nt
Filed under: uncultured bacterium
Lineage: Bacteria
Description: bacterial SSU rRNA
Rfam family: Bacterial small subunit ribosomal RNA
Source: RNAcentral